CGCGUAGGCGGUUUGUUAAGUGAGAAGUGAAAGCCCUCGGCUUAACCGGGGAUGUGCUUCUCAUACUGGCAGGCUAGAGGAUGGGAGAGGGAAGUGGAAUUCCUGGUGUAGCGGUGAAAUGCAUAGAUAUCAGGAGGAACACCGGUGGCGAAGGCGGCUUCCUGGACCAUACCUGACGCUGAGGCGCGAAAGCGUGAGGAGCGAACA
Molecule: ribosomal RNA, 207 nt
Filed under: uncultured bacterium
Lineage: Bacteria
Description: partial 16S ribosomal RNA
Rfam family: Bacterial small subunit ribosomal RNA
Source: RNAcentral